UACGUGGGGUGCAAGCGUUGUCCGGAAUUAUUGGGCGUAAAGAGCUCGUAGGCGGUUUGUCGCGUCUGGUGUGAAAAUCCAGGGCUUAACCCUGGACCUGCAUCGGGUACGGGCAGACUAGAGUGCGGUAGGGGAGAUCGGAAUUCCUGGUGUAGCGGUGAAAUGCGCAGAUAUCAGGAGGAACACCGGUGGCGAAGGCGGAUCUCUGGGCCGUAACUGACGCUGAGGAGCGAAAGCAUGGGGAGCGAACAGG
Molecule: ribosomal RNA, 253 nt
Filed under: uncultured bacterium
Lineage: Bacteria
Description: partial 16S ribosomal RNA
Rfam family: Bacterial small subunit ribosomal RNA
Source: RNAcentral